GACGAACGCUGGCGGCGUGCUUAACACAUGCAAGUCGAACGAAGUGGCGAACGGGUGAGUAACGCGUAAUCAACCUGCCCUUCAGAGGGGGACAACAGUUGAAAACGACUGCUAAUACCGCAUACUGAAGGAGGGGAGUGGGUCUGAUUAGCUCGUUGGAGGGGUAACGGCCCACCAGGGCGAUGAUCAGUAGCCGGUCUGAGAGGAUGAACCGGCAAAUGGGGACUGGGACACGGCCCAGACUUCUACGGGAGGCAGCAGUGGGGAAUCUUCCGCAAUGGACGAAAGUCUGACGGAGCAACGCCGCGGGAGUGAUGACGGCCUUCGGGUUGGAAAGCUCUGUUAAUCGGGACGCGGUACCGGCAUAGAAAGCCACGGCUAACUACGUGCCAGCAGCCGCGGUAAUAC
Molecule: ribosomal RNA, 408 nt
Filed under: uncultured bacterium
Lineage: Bacteria
Description: partial 16S ribosomal RNA
Rfam family: Bacterial small subunit ribosomal RNA
Source: RNAcentral